Small nuclear RNA from Gorilla gorilla gorilla (western lowland gorilla), 161 nucleotides. It matches the Rfam family "U4 spliceosomal RNA". Rfam says of the family: U4 small nuclear RNA (U4 snRNA) is a component of the major U2-dependent spliceosome. The structure of U4 snRNA from yeast and human has been reported. The record is from Rfam. Lineage: Eukaryota; Metazoa; Chordata; Mammalia; Primates; Hominidae.
AGCUUUGUGCAGUGGCAGUAAGGUAGCCAAUGAGGUUUAUUUGAGGCGCAAUUAUUGCUAAUUGAAACAGAUUCGUAGUGCACAGAGAGUGGGAUUUGUAGUUAACUACAUCUAGAUUUUUAACUCCCCACCCCACUGUUUACCAGUUGGAUAAACUUGGG